CUGUUGGUAUAGUGGAUACCCUGUAUCCUGGCAAUGAUGUUGUCCUGUUGUCAUAAUGGAUACCCUGUAUCCUGGUAAUGGUGUCCUCCUGUUGUUAUGGUGGAUACCCUGUAUCCUG
Saccostrea cuccullata (small rock oyster) is the source of this 118-nucleotide long non-coding RNA. RefSeq lists it as uncharacterized. Lineage: Eukaryota; Metazoa; Mollusca; Bivalvia; Ostreida; Ostreidae. The transcript has 2 exons. The record is from RefSeq and is a predicted model, not a curated record.